Equus caballus (horse) is the source of this 1604-nucleotide long non-coding RNA. The record is from Ensembl. Lineage: Eukaryota; Metazoa; Chordata; Mammalia; Perissodactyla; Equidae.
AGACAAUGGAUUUUAAUAAAGCCAGACGAUAUACCUACUUGCACAGCCUGAAACAGUCUAUUUGUUUAUGCUCCUGGAUAGUAGUUAAGGAAAAACAUGCUCUCAGUCCUUUAUUAAACAGAGUUAUGCCUAUUUCUUCAUGUCUAAGCAGAUUAUAGGUUAUUUUUUCCUGUUCUAGAACUUCAUAGGAAUUGACUCAUAUAGUCUUUUGUGUCUGGCUUCUUUCACUAGCAUAAUGAUUUGGAGGUUCAUCCAUGUUAUGUGUGUCAAUAGUUCAUUCCUUUUUAUUGCUGAAUGUAGUCUAUUGAAUAGAUAUACAAUAAUUUGUUACUCAUGCAUUUGUUGAUCACUAUUUGGGUUGCUUCCAAUUUUUGGAUGUUAGGGCUGUCUGAAUUUUUAUUUUUCAGCCAAUUCUGCUUACAUUACAUUGUAAAAAACAAAACAAAAGAAACAGCAACAGCAACCACUAUAGUAACAAAUCCCCAAACAAAAAGAAAACCCUUGUGUCACUUAGGAAUUCUUUUGCUUUUAAGCUAUAGCAUAUUUAAUCUACGGUGGUUUAAGUCAUAAGGACAUUUAUUGUGCCUCAAAAAAAUCUGAAGAUGCAUCCUUUCAGUGUUGGCCCAGUAGCUCAAACGUGUUAUAAGUGACCCAGAUAAUUUUUAUUUUUUGUUCUGUCAUGCUUGGUGUGUUGAUUCUUCUUCUUAUAUUUGUGACCUAUGCUUGCAAGUUGGCUGCAAAAACUCCAGGCCUUAUGUUCCUGUACACAUCAAGACAAAGGGGGAUAGGGCAGUUCCAGCAUGUUCUCUCCUGUGCCUUUUUAUAAUAAAGAAAAGCUUUGCCAAAGAUCCCCAGCAGACUUACCCUGAUGUCUCUGUGCUCUGAACUAUGCUACCACCAGCUCAAGAACAGCUGGGAAAGGGGGCAAAAUUCUAAGGAUUGCCUUUUCUGAAACAAUCAUAUUUCAUCACUUGGAGCUAAGUCCAUUGCCAAGCCAGACAAAUGAGGGUUCUGUUAGCAGAAAGAUUAAAUGGGAUGGCUGAUAUAAAGGUAACUAAUAGUGUUUUCCACAAUACCUUUCCUUGAUCUCUUUUCAUUAAUUUAUAUUUCUUUCUCAUUUGAGGUAUCUUCUUAACUUCUCUCAUCUCAAGUAUUUUUAAGGAAAUGCAAUUCUUCCAAUGGCACUCUUACAGAGAAGCACAUUCUACUUUAUGAAUAUCUUCAGAGAAUUGUGGUGCCUGUAAUUGGGGAUGGCUCCCUAGAGAGAAACUGUUCCACUCACAGCAUCCAGAAGGAAAAGAUUCAGAAACCAAGUGGCCAUCCCUGAUGUACAGCUGAUUGGACAUGAGUGGGGACUGGGAAGAAAUCGAAAUAAUUUGCUUCUCUCUUCUAAUCAUUCAGGAUGCGACACUGAGAGGCAAUUCCGAAGUCCUAUGUGAAAAUCAUAGAGGAAACUUUUGCAAGAUUUAUCAUGGACACUGAAGAAGAUGAAGAAAAUAUUUUUUGGAAUAGUAGCAUAUUGAUUAAAUAUCAUGACUGGCCCUGAGCUAACACCUGUGCCAAUCUUCCUCUGUUUUAUGUGGGAUGUUUUAUCUGGGAUCCGA